This is a long non-coding RNA of Solea senegalensis (Senegalese sole), 149 nucleotides long. RefSeq lists it as uncharacterized. The transcript has 2 exons. NCBI's taxonomy places the organism in Eukaryota, Metazoa, Chordata, Actinopteri, Pleuronectiformes, Soleidae. The record is from RefSeq and is a predicted model, not a curated record.
GAGGGACGGGCGGGCGCUCAGAUCCAUUUUCACUCUGCAACCAAAGAAAAUGUUCAACGAUGAUAUCAACAACAACUGAGAAGUAGAGGCACGUUUUCGCCCCCUGGUGGUGAUUCAGUAACCUGUUACAUCCGUCUGCGUGAGAGAUU